CAUGAAGCUGGAUUCGCUAGUAAUCGCGCAUCAGCCACGGCGCGGUGAAUACGUUCCCGGGCCUUGUACACACCGCCCGUCAAGCCAUGGAAGCCGGGAGUGCCUGAAGUGCGUGACCGCAAGGAGCGUCCUAAGGCAAUACCGGUGACUGGGGCUAAGUCGUAACAAGGUACC
Molecule: ribosomal RNA, 174 nt
Filed under: uncultured bacterium
Lineage: Bacteria
Description: partial 16S ribosomal RNA
Rfam family: Bacterial small subunit ribosomal RNA
Source: RNAcentral